UACGUAGGGUCCGAGCGUUGUCCGGAAUUAUUGGGCGUAAAGGGCUCGUAGGCGGUCUGUUGCGUCGGGAGUGAAAACUUACAGCUUAACUGUGAGCGUGCGUCCGAUACGGGCAGACUUGAGGUAUUCAGGGGAGAACGGAAUUCCUGGUGUAGCGGUGAAAUGCGCAGAUAUCAGGAGGAACACCGGUGGCGAAGGCGGUUCUCUGGGAAGAUCCUGACGCUGAGGAGCGAAAGUGUGGGGAGCGAACAGG
RNAcentral lists this ribosomal RNA (253 nucleotides) under uncultured bacterium. RNAcentral's name for it is "partial 16S ribosomal RNA". It matches the Rfam family "Bacterial small subunit ribosomal RNA", at positions 524 to 776 of the family's 1533-position model. The record is from RNAcentral.